RNAcentral lists this ribosomal RNA (1463 nucleotides) under Salmonella enterica subsp. enterica serovar Virchow. Its description in RNAcentral is "partial 23S ribosomal RNA". It matches the Rfam family "Bacterial large subunit ribosomal RNA", at positions 1292 to 2738 of the family's 2925-position model. The record is from RNAcentral. Lineage: Bacteria; Pseudomonadati; Pseudomonadota; Gammaproteobacteria; Enterobacterales; Enterobacteriaceae.
GAAUGCUGACAUAAGUAACGAUAAAGCGGGUGAAAAGCCCGCUCGCCGGAAGACCAAGGGUUCCUGUCCAACGUUAAUCGGGGCAGGGUGAGUCGACCCCUAAGGCGAGGCCGAAAGGCGUAGUCGAUGGGAAACGGGUUAAUAUUCCCGUACUUGGUGUUACUGCGAAGGGGGGACGGAGAAGGCUAUGUUGGCCGGGCGACGGUUGUCCCGGUUUAAGCGUGUAGGUGUGUGUUCCAGGUAAAUCCGGUUCACUUUAACACUGAGGCGUGACGACGAGGCACUACGGUGCUGAAGCAACAAAUGCCCUGCUUCCAGGAAAAGCCUCUAAGCAUCAGGUAACAUCAAAUCGUACCCCAAACCGACACAGGUGGUCAGGUAGAGAAUACCAAGGCGCUUGAGAGAACUCGGGUGAAGGAACUAGGCAAAAUGGUGCCGUAACUUCGGGAGAAGGCACGCUGACACGUAGGUGAAGUGAUUUACUCAUGGAGCUGAAGUCAGUCGAAGAUACCAGCUGGCUGCAACUGUUUAUUAAAAACACAGCACUGUGCAAACACGAAAGUGGACGUAUACGGUGUGACGCCUGCCCGGUGCCGGAAGGUUAAUUGAUGGGGUCAGCGCAAGCGAAGCUCCUGAUCGAAGCCCCGGUAAACGGCGGCCGUAACUAUAACGGUCCUAAGGUAGCGAAAUUCCUUGUCGGGUAAGUUCCGACCUGCACGAAUGGCGUAAUGAUGGCCAGGCUGUCUCCACCCGAGACUCAGUGAAAUUGAACUCGCUGUGAAGAUGCAGUGUACCCGCGGCAAGACGGAAAGACCCCGUGAACCUUUACUAUAGCUUGACACUGAACAUUGAGCCUUGAUGUGUAGGAUAGGUGGGAGGCUUUGAAGUGUGGACGCCAGUCUGCAUGGAGCCGACCUUGAAAUACCACCCUUUAAUGUUUGAUGUUCUAACGUGGACCCGUAAUCCGGGUUGCGGACAGUGUCUGGUGGGUAGUUUGACUGGGGCGGUCUCCUCCUAAAGAGUAACGGAGGAGCACGAAGGUUGGCUAAUCCUGGUCGGACAUCAGGAGGUUAGUGCAAUGGCAUAAGCCAGCUUGACUGCGAGCGUGACGGCGCGAGCAGGUGCGAAAGCAGGUCAUAGUGAUCCGGUGGUUCUGAAUGGAAGGGCCAUCGCUCAACGGAUAAAAGGUACUCCGGGGAUAACAGGCUGAUACCGCCCAAGAGUUCAUAUCGACGGCGGUGUUUGGCACCUCGAUGUCGGCUCAUCACAUCCUGGGGCUGAAGUAGGUCCCAAGGGUAUGGCUGUUCGCCAUUUAAAGUGGUACGCGAGCUGGGUUUAGAACGUCGUGAGACAGUUCGGUCCCUAUCUGCCGUGGGCGCUGGAGAACUGAGGGGGGCUGCUCCUAGUACGAGAGGACCGGAGUGGACGCAUCACUGGUGUUCGGGUUGUCAUGCCAAUGGCAC